RNAcentral lists this ribosomal RNA (433 nucleotides) under uncultured bacterium. Its description in RNAcentral is "partial 16S ribosomal RNA". It matches the Rfam family "Bacterial small subunit ribosomal RNA", at positions 29 to 507 of the family's 1533-position model. The record is from RNAcentral.
AACGAACGCUGGCGGCAUGCCUAACACAUGCAAGUCGAACGAGACCUUCGGGUCUUGUGGCGCACGGGUGCGUAACGCGUGGGAACCUGCCCUUAGGUUCGGAAUAACUCUCCGACAGGGGUGCUAAUACCGGAUAAUGUCUUCGGCCCAAAGAUUUAUCGCCUUUGGAUGGGCCCGCGUUGGAUUAGCUUGUUGGUAGGGUAAAAGCCUACCAAGGCGACGAUCCAUAGCUGGUUUGAGAGGAUGAUCAGCCACACUGGGACUGAGACACGGCCCAGACUCCUACGGGAGGCAGCAGUGGGGAAUAUUGGACAAUGGGCGAAAGCCUGAUCCAGCAAGGCCGCGUGAGUGAUGAAGGCCUUAGGGUUGUAAAGCUCUUUUACCCGGGAUGAUAAUGACGGUACCGGGAGAAUAAGCUCCGGCUAACUCCGUG